RNAcentral lists this ribosomal RNA (253 nucleotides) under uncultured Stenotrophomonas sp. RNAcentral describes it as "partial 16S ribosomal RNA". It matches the Rfam family "Bacterial small subunit ribosomal RNA", at positions 524 to 776 of the family's 1533-position model. The record is from RNAcentral. Lineage: Bacteria; Pseudomonadati; Pseudomonadota; Gammaproteobacteria; Lysobacterales; Lysobacteraceae.
UACGAAGGGUGCAAGCGUUACUCGGAAUUACUGGGCGUAAAGCGUGCGUAGGUGGUUGAUUAAGUCUGUCGUGAAAGCCCUGGGCUCAACCUGGGAAUUGCGAUGGAAACUGGUUGACUAGAGUGUGGCAGAGGGUAGUGGAAUUCCUGGUGUAGCAGUGAAAUGCGUAGAGAUCAGGAGGAACAUCCGUGGCGAAGGCGACUGCCUGGGCCAACACUGACACUGAGGCGCGAAAGCGUGGGGAGCAAACAGG